RNAcentral lists this ribosomal RNA (275 nucleotides) under uncultured bacterium. RNAcentral describes it as "partial 16S ribosomal RNA". It matches the Rfam family "Bacterial small subunit ribosomal RNA", at positions 82 to 354 of the family's 1533-position model. The record is from RNAcentral.
CCGUUGCCGGCGACCGGCGCACGGGUGAGUAACACGUAUGCAACCUGCCCGUGGCAGGGGGAUAAGCGGGGGAACCCCGUCUAAUACCGCGUAACGCGGCCUAGGGACAUCCCAAGGCCGCCAAAGGGAGCAAUCCCGGCUACGGAUGGGCAUGCGGCGCAUUAGCUAGUCGGCGGGGUAACGGCCCACCGAGGCGACGAUGCGUAGGGGUUCUGAGAGGAAGGUCCCCCACACUGGUACUGAGACACGGACCAGACUCCUACGGGAGGCAGCAG